RNAcentral lists this ribosomal RNA (292 nucleotides) under uncultured bacterium. Its description in RNAcentral is "partial 16S ribosomal RNA". It matches the Rfam family "Bacterial small subunit ribosomal RNA", at positions 505 to 796 of the family's 1533-position model. The record is from RNAcentral.
GUGCCAGCCGCCGCGGUAAUACGGAGGGUGCGAGCGUUGUCCGGAUUUAUUGGGUUUAAAGGGUGCGUAGGCGGCUUGUUAAGUCCGGGGUGAAAGCCCACAGCUCAACUGUGGAACUGCCCUGGAUACUGGCAAGCUUGAGUCCAGACGAGGUUGGCGGAAUAGAUGCUGUAGCGGUGAAAUGCAUAGAUAGCAUCUAGAACCCCGAUUGCGUAGGCAGCUGACUAGGCUGGCACUGACGCUGAGGCACGAAAGCGUGGGGAGCGAACAGGAUUAGAAACCCGGGUAGUCC